AACGAACGCUGGCGGCGUGGAUAAGACAUGCAAGUCGAACGGAAUGAAAUCUGUAGCAAUACAGGCUUCAUUCAGUGGCGCACGGGUGCGUAACACGUGAGUAAUCUGCCGGAAAGUGGGGGAUAGCUCGCCGAAAGGCGAAUUAAUACCGCAUGUGGCUAGGGAGGACAUCCUUCCAAGGCCAAAGUCGCAAGACGCUUUCUGAUGAACUCGCGGCCUAUCAGCUAGUUGGUGAGGUAACGGCUCACCAAGGCUCUGACGGGUAGCUGGUCCGAGAGGACGACCAGUCACACUGGAACUGAGACACGGUCCAGACACCUACGGGUGGCAGCAGUCGAGAAUUUUUCACAAUGGGGGAACCCUGAUGGAGCGACGCCGCGUGGAGGACGAAGGUCUUCGGAUUGUAAACUCCUGUCAUGCGGGAACAAGAAAGUGAUAGUACCGCAAGAGGAAGAGACGGCUAACUCUGUGCCAGCAGCCGCCGUAA
RNAcentral lists this ribosomal RNA (487 nucleotides) under uncultured bacterium. Its description in RNAcentral is "partial 16S ribosomal RNA". It matches the Rfam family "Bacterial small subunit ribosomal RNA", at positions 29 to 523 of the family's 1533-position model. The record is from RNAcentral.